RNAcentral lists this ribosomal RNA (445 nucleotides) under uncultured bacterium. Its description in RNAcentral is "partial 16S ribosomal RNA". It matches the Rfam family "Bacterial small subunit ribosomal RNA", at positions 354 to 796 of the family's 1533-position model. The record is from RNAcentral.
GUGAGGAAUAUUGGUCAAUGGGCGAGAGCCUGAACCAGCCAAGUCGCGUGAAGGAUGAAGGUUUUAUGAAUUGUAAACUUCUUUUGCAGGGGAAUAAAGUACGGUAUGUGUACCGUUUUGUAUGUACUCUGCGAAUAAGGAUCGGCUAACUCCGUGCCAGCAGCCGCGGUAAUACGGAGGAUCCAAGCGUUAUCCGGAUUUAUUGGGUUUAAAGGGUGCGCAGGCGGGUUGAUAAGUCAGCGGUGAAAGUUUGCAGCUUAACUGUAAAAUUGCCGUUGAAACUGUCGAUCUUGAGUGCAAAUGAGGUAAGCGGAAUGUGUUGUGUAGCGGUGAAAUGCUUAGAUAUAACACAGAACACCGAUUGCGAAGGCAGCUUACUGGGAUGCAACUGACGCUCAUGCACGAAAGCGUGGGGAUCAAACAGGAUUAGAAACCCGUGUAGUCC